GAUGAACGCUGGCGGCGUGCCUAAUACAUGCAAGUCGAACGCAUUGUGGUUGAAAUGAUAUGAAGAACUUGUUCAGAUUUGAUUUUCAACAUUGCAAUGAGUGGCGAACGGGUGAGUAACACGUGGGAAACCUACCUCUUAGCAGGGGAUAACAUUUGGAAACAAAUGCUAAUACCGUAUAAUAAUUAAAACCGCAUGGUUUUAGUUUAAAAGAUGGUCUUGCUAAUCACUAAGAGAUGGUCCCGCGGUGUAUUAGUUAGUUGGUGAGGUAAUGGCUCACCAAGACAAUGAUACAUAGCCGAGUUGAGAGACUGACCGGCCACAAUGGGGACUGAGAACACGGCCCACUACUCCUACGGGAGGCAGCAGUAGGAAG
This 376-nucleotide ribosomal RNA is filed under the name uncultured bacterium. RNAcentral describes it as "bacterial SSU rRNA". It matches the Rfam family "Bacterial small subunit ribosomal RNA", at positions 28 to 361 of the family's 1533-position model. The record is from RNAcentral.